CCUACGGGGUGCAGCAGUCGAGAAUUAUUCACAAUGGGGGAAACCCUGAUGGUGCGACGCCGCGUGGGGGAAUGAAGGUCUUCGGAUUGUAAACCCCUGUCAUGUGGGAGCAAAUUAAAAAGAUAGUACCACAAGAGGAAGAGACGGCUAACUCUGUGCCAGCAGCCGCGGUAAUACAGAGGUCUCAAGCGUUGUUCGGAAUCACUGGGCGUAAGGCGUGCGUAGGCUGUUUCGUAAGUCGUGUGUGAAAGGCGCGGGCUCAACCCGCGGACGGCACAUGAUACUGCGAGACUAGAGUAAUGGAGGGGGAACCGGAAUUCUCGGUGUAGCAGUGAAAUGCGUAGAUAUCGAGAGGAACACUCGUGGCGAAGGCGGGUUCCUGGACAUUAACUGACGCUGAGGCACGAAGGCCAGGGGAGCGAAAGGGAUUAGAUACCCCUGUAGUC
This 446-nucleotide ribosomal RNA is filed under the name uncultured bacterium. RNAcentral's name for it is "partial 16S ribosomal RNA". It matches the Rfam family "Bacterial small subunit ribosomal RNA", at positions 338 to 795 of the family's 1533-position model. The record is from RNAcentral.